This 106-nucleotide ribosomal RNA is filed under the name Callithrix jacchus (white-tufted-ear marmoset). Lineage: Eukaryota; Metazoa; Chordata; Mammalia; Primates; Cebidae. The record is from RNAcentral.
GUCUGUGGCCAUACCACCCUGAACGUGCCUCUCAGAAGCUAAGCAGGGUCGGGUUUGGUUAGUACUUGGAUGGGAGACUGCCUGGAAAUACUGGGUGCUGUAGGCU